AAGUGGUGGAGCAUGUGGUUUAAUUCGAAGAUACACGAAGAACCUUACCUGGCCUUGACAUGGUAGGAACCCUUAAGAGAUUAGGGGGUGCUAGCUUGCUAGAACCUACACACAGGUGCUGCACGGCUGUCGUCAGCUCGUGUCGUGAGAUGUUGGGUUAAGUCCCGCAACGAGCGCAACCCUCGUCCUUAGUUGCUAACAGUUCGGCUGAGCACUCUAGGGAGACUGCCUUCGCAAGGAGGAGGAAGGUGAGGACGACGUCAAGUCAUCAUGGCCCUUACGGCCAGGGCUACACACGUGCUACAAUGGGGCGUACAGAGAGCUGCGAUACCGCGAGGUGGAGCCAAUCUCUUAAAGCGUCUCUCAGUUCGGAUUGUUCUCUGCAACUCGAGAACAUGAAGCUGGAAUCACUAGUAAUCGCAGAUCAGCUAUGCUGCGGUGAAUACGUUCCCGGGUCUU
This 459-nucleotide ribosomal RNA is filed under the name uncultured Sulfuricurvum sp. RNAcentral describes it as "bacterial SSU rRNA". It matches the Rfam family "Bacterial small subunit ribosomal RNA", at positions 927 to 1382 of the family's 1533-position model. Lineage: Bacteria; Pseudomonadati; Campylobacterota; Epsilonproteobacteria; Campylobacterales; Sulfurimonadaceae. The record is from RNAcentral.